This 253-nucleotide ribosomal RNA is filed under the name uncultured bacterium. RNAcentral's name for it is "partial 16S ribosomal RNA". It matches the Rfam family "Bacterial small subunit ribosomal RNA", at positions 524 to 776 of the family's 1533-position model. The record is from RNAcentral.
UACGGAGGGUGCAAGCGUUGUCCGGAUUUAUUGGGUUUAAAGGGUGCGUAGGCGGCCCGUUAAGUCAGUGGUGAAAGCCUCCAGCUCAACUGGAGAACUGCCAUUGAUACUAUUUGUCUUGAAUACUGUGGAGGUCAGCGGAAUAUGUCAUGUAGCGGUGAAAUGCUUAGAUAUGACAUAGAACACCAAUUGCGAAGGCAGCUGGCUACACAAAUAUUGACACUGAGGCACGAAAGCGUGGGGAUCAAACAGG